AACGCGAAGAACCUUACCUAAGCUUGACAUCCCACUGACCUCUCCCUAAUCGGAGAUUUCCCUUCGGGACAGUGGUGACAGGUGGUGCAUGGUUGUCGUCAGCUCGUGUCGUGAGAUGUUGGGUUAAGUCCCGCAACGAGCGCAACCCUUGUCUUUAGUUGCCAUCAUUAAGUUGGGCACUCUAGAGAGACUGCCGAGGAUAACUCGGAGGAAGGUGGGGAUGACGUCAAAUCAUCAUGCCCCUUAUGCUUAGGGCUACACACGUGCUACAAUGGGUGGUACAGAGGGCAGCCAAGCCGUGAGGUGGAGCAAAUCCCUUAAAGCCAUUCUCAGUUCGGAUUGUAGGCUGAAACUCGCCUACAUGAAGCUGGAGUUACUAGUAAUCGCAGAUCAGAAUGCUGCGGUGAAUGCGUUCCCGGGUCUUGUACACACCG
Molecule: ribosomal RNA, 434 nt
Filed under: uncultured bacterium
Lineage: Bacteria
Description: bacterial SSU rRNA
Rfam family: Bacterial small subunit ribosomal RNA
Source: RNAcentral